Long non-coding RNA from Ipomoea nil (Japanese morning glory), 685 nucleotides. RefSeq lists it as uncharacterized. The record is from RefSeq and is a predicted model, not a curated record. Lineage: Eukaryota; Viridiplantae; Streptophyta; Magnoliopsida; Solanales; Convolvulaceae. The transcript has 2 exons.
CUGUAGUCGCUUAACUCGUCUGCUCCCACAUCGGCACAUGAAGCAGCUUGUUUCCAGUACAUAUACUCCACCAUGGAAGCACAUACCGUCCCUUCGGAGACAUCCGAUAAAAUUGGAACGAUACAGAGAAGAUUAGCAUGGCCCCUGCGCAAGGAUGACACGCACAAAUCGAGAAAUGGUCCAAAUUUUUUUCCAAACCAAAAAUCCAAGAACUACAACUGCUAAUUUGUCCCCAGAUUUCGUGAAUAUAAUCUGGGGAUUUUCCACUUUUACUGAAAUGCGGGCACUGGAUGCGUUUUCAAUCUGUUAAACUGGGUUUGCAAUCCUCGUAAUAGUGAUGUUUUCGAUGUACCUUCCAUACGAUUCUCCGAUGAUUGCCCCUGAACUGGAAUAAGUGUAUGGAAUACAAGUGAAGUUAAUAUCAUUUGGGAUGCUGAGAAAUUGGCUUACUGAUAUCGCUUUGAACUAUGAAGGAUGAUAACAUAUGCCACAUCAGACCCGGCACUCACAUCAUACGAUAUCUUAUCCACAGCUCACCCCCCAGUAUGUUGAGGAGUUCUUAUGUUAUUGAAGCUGGAGCAACCUUUCCUUAGUUAGAACUCCAAUUUUCCAGUGUCUUUAAUAACAUAGUCAUUGGUAAUAAAGAGGUAUUGAGAAAGAAUGAAAUGUUACAAGUUCUUCAGUC